Molecule: long non-coding RNA, 2037 nt
Organism: Gallus gallus (chicken)
Lineage: Eukaryota; Metazoa; Chordata; Aves; Galliformes; Phasianidae
Source: Ensembl
AAAAAGUCUCUUGCAACCCCGCUUAAAGGAGCUGCUGAAAGCAGCGCUGAAAUGGGCCUCUCUUCUUGGCAGUUGGACGAUGGCCACACAGUGUCCAGCCGUGUCUGCAGGACCAGAGAUAUGUCUUGUGUGCAUGCUGGGAAAGAGGGCAAGGAGAAGAAACCCAGGAUCAUUGUGUUUGAAGCUGGGAGACAUGUCCUGAAGUCCCUCUGGCUGAAUAACUGUGACCAUCCCACCACCACCGCAGAAGGAAACAGCAAGCUUUUUUGUGAAUCCCUUUCCUAGCAGCAAGCCAGGAAAAACGGAGCGUUGGCUCUUGCUUGGACUGUCACACGCUUGAAUUCAAGCAAUGUUUUCUCCUUUGGCAGAGAAGGAGCGAAGCCACCCUCUGCUUUGGAAGCAGCCUCUGCUUCCCUUCCUGCCUCUCCCUGAGGAUUCCGGGGGUGCCAGCUGGGUCUCAGGGGGCAGCAAGCAGCUCUGUGGGGCUGGUGUCUCUGUGGCCAUGUUCCUUUGGGCAGCUCCCUAUGUGUGACACAGCACAGAGGGAGUCCCCAGAGUUGAAGAAGCCUCGGGACAGUGCUGGCUGACGUAGAGUUUGGACUCAGUGAUCCUUGCGGGUCCCUUCCAGCUCGGGAUAUUCUGUGGUUCUAGGAUCUGAGGGAAGGAGCACUUGUUACCAGGAAGCACGGGUCUCACAGAUGCCCUUUGAAGGUGCUGGGCAGGGCUGAAGUGCAGAGUUCCUGCAGCAGGGAUGCAGCGGAAGCCUGGAGGAAAAGCAGCUAUGGAGAUAACGGCAGCAGUGACAAUCAGAAGAGGUGGGAUCGAGCUCAGCUCCGAGACAACCCGUCGGCUGAAGCAGACAUCUGUUUCCGUGGAAAAAGUCAUCUGUUGCUGUGAUGAGCCUUUGCCGCUCCUUGCCUUGGGGGAGCUGGAAGGAAGGGAAGAAGGGAUGGAGGUGGCUGAUGUGCUGCUGAUCGGGCCUGGCUGUGCCUGAGCCAAAGACAAAGCACCUGUCAGCUCUGCUGUGGGCAGCCCUGCUUUGCUUCAGAGCCACACCUUUCACAAAAGCACGAGCAUCCUCAAACGCACCCAAGCUCCUGAUGUGCUGCCAAGGGUUUCUGCCAGGCUCUGCUUCCAUCGUGUGCGAGCACCAGGGCAGCCUGGAGAGUAAACAAUGUCCUUUAAUAGGAACAGCGGGCAGCUGCUUCUAGUGCAGGCAGAAAGGAGCGUUCCCCAUUCAGAGUUUGCACGGGGGAAGCAGGAAGGCAGAAGGGGAACCGAAAUGCCCUGAUUUGGAACGAUUCCUUCUCAAGGUUAGUGUUAAUUUGAUGUGAAUGAUGGGAGCUGAAAGGCCCAUCAGCAGGGCAUUUUGAACAAAUCGAGGUGAUGGCUCUCUGGAGGAGCUGUUUGCGGUGGAGACUUCAAUCUGGAGCUAAAGGGUUCCCACGGUAUCUGCAGUCAGCUUUCCCCAGACAAGUCCCAACUCGGAGGCAGUUGCACAGCAGCGAUCCGACCCAACGCCGUCCCUCUGCAAGGAUGUCCCACUGGUGUCCUGCUGUCCAUCCCGCAGCAUGGGAGGGCUCAGCUGGCCGUGCCAACAGCCCCAACCAUUUGCCAUGGCUUGGGGAUCUCUGAGCACACAGGAUGCUCAGAACAGGAGGAAAACAAACACGGAUUGCUGGCUGCAGUACCAGCUGUCUGCAUGGUCUCUGGGACAGUGAUACGAAGCACAGCAAGGAAGAUCUGAAGGACACACAACUCAUCAGCUCCUUCUAGCACCAUUUCCCCCCCAGCUCUCACAAGCCUCCUCUCCCCCAUCCACCUAAACCUGAAUAAUGUACAGAGCUGCAUUUAAAAGAAGUCUCAUCCGAGAUGUUCCCACAAGCCUUCAGCUAAUCCCAACUGCAGCCAUCACUUGAACUCCGUGACAGCAUGCAAUCACAGCCUUGGAAAUAUCACAGCUUCUACAAAAGCAAGCUUCAGUUAUCUACACGAGGCUAUAUAUAAAGCUGCACGCUGCAGAGCUAUGCAUCGACC